ACAUAGUCAUCUUCUACUCCCCUGUUCAUUUCUCCAUUAAUAUCCAUGGAGACAAAUCCACCAACCUCAGAAUUAAUGUCGCCGGUCCAUAGUUUCCCCAACCGGUUCUUUUGCAGCGACUUCCAAAAUGAUGAGGAAUUUAAUGCUCCAGCUUCUGUAUACACUUAUAUGCAUGUUGAUUGUUCUCGGUCAUCUGAAGCCCCUGUUAGAUCCCCGGAUGUUGUGAUAUCCAACAAUUUCAUGAACAGCGCGUUUAAUGAUGACCAGGUUAUGGAUAAUGAAGAAGGUUUGUUUUUUCUAUACACUCGGUUUGUUUUUUUCUUCCCCAGAUAUGGCAUUGUUCAAACAUAUUCCAUAAUGUUCACAUGUAGCAGGGGAAGAUUCGCAUAUGCAGGCCAUGACUGUUGCUGUUUCUGGAUCAUCUCAUGGUCCUUCUAUGUUUGCUGAAUCAUCACGCGGCCAGUUAGACGGGCCAUCGAAUCCAUACUUUGUUUUUGAUACCCCUCAGGGAACCCGUUACUGGAUUCCUAACGUCGCUGAUAAGU
Molecule: long non-coding RNA, 545 nt
Organism: Helianthus annuus (common sunflower)
Lineage: Eukaryota; Viridiplantae; Streptophyta; Magnoliopsida; Asterales; Asteraceae
Exons: 3
Source: RefSeq, a predicted model, not a curated record